This 69-nucleotide transfer RNA is filed under the name Crypturellus tataupa. RNAcentral describes it as "tRNA-Lys". It matches the Rfam family "tRNA". Rfam says of the family: Transfer RNA (tRNA) molecules are approximately 80 nucleotides in length. Their secondary structure includes four short double-helical elements and three loops (D, anti-codon, and T loops). Lineage: Eukaryota; Metazoa; Chordata; Aves; Tinamiformes; Tinamidae. The record is from RNAcentral.
CAUUAAGAAGCUAUGCUACAGCACUAGCCUUUUAAGCUAGAAAAAGAGGUAUUACUUCCUCCUUAAUGA